RNA transcript from Populus trichocarpa (black cottonwood), 1615 nucleotides. It is a transcript of the gene named GDSL esterase/lipase 1, with no coding region annotated. The record is from RefSeq and is a predicted model, not a curated record. The transcript is spliced from 7 exons. Lineage: Eukaryota; Viridiplantae; Streptophyta; Magnoliopsida; Malpighiales; Salicaceae.
CUACCACCUUAAAGUCAACCUGUUAAACUACUUGUUGUUCUCCCACAAACUCAGACACACUAACUUCAGUGCUAGCCAUGUCAUCAACAGUGACGUCUGAUAACGACAAGAAAUAAGCAUCUGGGGUGGUCUUUAUCAGUUUGGUUAGCAUUGCUCAUCUUGUUCUUACCUGUAAAGGAGAGCGCUGAGAGAAUCAACAGAAGGUGAGCUCCUGGAGAGAUGAGAAUUUCAAGGUCCAACAUUAAGAAUUGUUUCUUGGUAUUUUGUGCAAGCCUUCUGGUUGCAAGAAGCUGCCAUGGUUCUAAGCAUGUUGCCUUAUUUAUCUUUGGAGAUUCAUUAUAUGAUGCUGGAAACAAUAAGUACAUCGAAGAUGCUCCUAUCUUUUCAGAUUUCUGGCCAUAUGGAGAAACCUUCUUUAAGCAUCCCACAGGAAGGCCUUGUGAUGGUCGAUUAAUUCCAGAUUUUAUUGCUCAAUAUGCAAAUCUACCUUUAAUUCCGCCAUAUCUACAACCUGGUGACCAUCAAUUUAUGGAUGGAGAAAACUUUGAGUCCAAAGGGGAUCUUGUUCUCGCUGAAAAUCUCCAAGGAAUGGUGAUAAGCUCUGAAAUACAACAACAUCUACAAUCCAGUAGUCAUCGAUUUAUAAAUGGAGUGAACUUUGCAUCAUCUGGAGCUGGUGCUCUUGUUGAAACUCAUCAUGGAUGGGUGAUAAGCCUUAGCACUCAACUAAGCUAUUUCAAGCGUAUGAAAAGGCAGUUAAGGCUUCAACUAGGUGAAGCAGAAGCUAAAAAAUUGCUGUCCACAGCAGUUUACAUGUUCAGCAUUGGAGGCAAUGACUACUUUGCAGCUCUAACACCAACGCACAGUUUGCUUCAAUUAUAUUCAAGAGAAGAGUAUGUUGGGAUGGUUAUUGGCAAUAUAACAACAGUGAUCCAAGAAAUAUACAAGAUAGGAGGGAGGAAAUUUGGAUUGUCAACGUUGAUCGCUUUGGGUUGUCUACCAUCCUUGAGAGCAGCUAAACAGGAAAGAACAGGUGUGUCAGGCUGCUUGGAUGAAGCUACAAUGUUUGCAAAGCUACACAACAGAGCACUCCCUAAAGCACUCAAAGAGCUUGAGGGACAACUAGAAGGAUUUAGAUACUCAAUUUUUGAUGCCUACGUUGCUGGAAGGGAGAGAAUUAAUAACCCUUCAAAAUAUGGUUUCAAGGAGGUUCAAGAGGCAUGUUGUGGCAGUGGUCCUUACAGAAGCCUCCGUACUUGUGGUCAGAAAGGAUAUCAAUUAUGCGACAAUGCAAGUGAAUAUUUCUUCUUUGAUGCGGCUCAUCCAACUGAGAGUGCCAACAAUCAAUUUGCGAAGCUAAUGUGGAGUGGAAGUCUUGACAUCGUGAAGCCUUACAAUCUUAAAACACUGUUUGAGGAAUAGCCGAAAAUAGAGUUUAUUUUUAACGAAAUGCUACGUUCGUUUUCCUGCUGAUCUAUCAAUUUUCCUUUUGAUUUAUGGAGAAGUCCAACUAGCUUUGGACUUGUGUUUUUCUGGGACCUGUUUCACGGUUGUAGAUCAUGCAUGGCCAAAAUUUCUAAAUUAAAAAUUUUAAAUUCCGAGGAAUUUUAUGGUA